AAAUUGAAGAGUUUGAUCAUGGCUCAGAUUGAACGCUGGCGGCAGGCCUAACACAUGCAAGUCGAACGGUAACAGGAAUCAGCUUGCUGAUUUGCUGACGAGUGGCGGACGGGUGAGUAAUGUCUGGGAAACUGCCUGAUGGAGGGGGAUAACUACUGGAAACGGUAGCUAAUACCGCAUAACGUCGCAAGACCAAAGAGGGGGACCUUC
Molecule: ribosomal RNA, 210 nt
Filed under: Escherichia coli
Lineage: Bacteria; Pseudomonadati; Pseudomonadota; Gammaproteobacteria; Enterobacterales; Enterobacteriaceae
Description: partial 16S ribosomal RNA
Rfam family: Bacterial small subunit ribosomal RNA
Source: RNAcentral